This 160-nucleotide ribosomal RNA is filed under the name uncultured bacterium. RNAcentral's name for it is "partial 16S ribosomal RNA". It matches the Rfam family "Bacterial small subunit ribosomal RNA", at positions 355 to 507 of the family's 1533-position model. The record is from RNAcentral.
UGAGGAAUAUUGCACAAUGGGCGCAAGCCUGAUGCAGCCAUGCCGCGUGUAUGAAGAAGGCCUUCGGGUUGUAAAGUACUUUCAGCGGGGAGGAAAGUGUUGAGGUUAAUAACCUCAGCAAAUGACGUUACCCGCAGAAGAAGCACCGGCUAACUCCGUG